This is a long non-coding RNA of Triplophysa rosa, 2400 nucleotides long. RefSeq lists it as uncharacterized. The transcript is spliced from 3 exons. The record is from RefSeq and is a predicted model, not a curated record. Lineage: Eukaryota; Metazoa; Chordata; Actinopteri; Cypriniformes; Nemacheilidae.
GCCUAUUAAAUAGGUACUAGUAUACAUUGAAUACAAAUCCAGUAUUUAAUAAUAAGUACUAGCAUUUACUGAAUACGUACUAGUAGUAUUAAAAAGAUACUAGUCAUUAUUGUAAUACGUACUAGUCAGAAAUGAGUAACUGAUAUCAAAAACAGAAUAACUACUAGUACCUAUUCAUUUGAAGAUAUCUUCCGCCUUAAAAGGAACUAGUAAGAAUGGGUUUGGAGAUAUCUUGAUUCAAACACAUUAUUGCAUAAACAUGAGUACCCCCCUCAGUCAUCCAAUCAGAGUUAACAUACUAAUGCAACGUAUCCUAGGGUAUCGAAGCAGCACUUCCGCCAUGAUUGUCGCCAUAUUUGUGUCCGACAUGGCAGUUAACAACACAUCUAAACGAGACUAAAAUAACUCGAUAUUUGGGAAAAACAUAUAUUAUUAGUUGUGAUCCUUAUUUAUUAGGCUACCUCCAAUUGUGUUUUGUCCCUUACAAUCUGCGACGCGUCUGCUAAACUUUUCUGGACAUUAAUAUUUCGCACAUAAUCUAUCGCUAUCGCCAUACAGCGGAGAGAGAAAGCAUGCAUCACAACACGUCGUUGCAGGGUGUGUGAACAACACCAAUAUGUGGUAUCUGGAGACAAAACAUCUAUUUGUGAAAACAGGACAGGUCAAUCAUUCCUAGGCUCUGAACACAAAAGCAACAUGUCCAUGGAUAGUGGUGCUGGAGGAACGGACAGUGGCGAUGGCACAUUGUUGCAACUCUAGACAAUUUGCAGCACAUAAAACUGCACAUCUGCUGAUGAGUUUACGUUCUGUUGUAAACAGCUCCAAAGUGAAGGCCAAGAAGCAGAGCCCAAAUAAAAGUGCAAUCCUGUCAGUCAUCGAAGGCCAUUCCAUCAGAUACAUGCCCAAGACUGUACUACUGGAUCUGCCAACACCUCUGACCACUCUUUAUGCAAGCCCCAGGCUUGAAAUGGAUUUGCCCACACUGCUGGAGGAGGGUGCCGAGACCUUUGAGAAGCUGCAUCUCACACCACAGCAGAUGGGGUCUAAAAAAUGAGGACACUGCCAGAGAAUCGUACCUGAGGGCGAUGCAGGACCUCCAAGCAGACCUCCACGUUGCAGCAUCUGGACUUAUAAGUAACCCAGAGGUGCCAUGGAUCGGUGGAUCACCAGAUGGUGUGGUGAUGGUGUUAUAGAUGAAGUGUCCUUUCAGUGCAAAAGACCGCACCCUACAUGAAUGUGUAAAAGAGUCAAGGUUCUGUCUGAGGAAGACUCAAGGUUCUGUCACUGAGGAAGGUGUAAUGAGCCUAAAGCUUAAUCACAGUUACAUGCAUCAAGUGCAAGCCCAAAUGUGUGUAGCAGAGGUAACAUACUGUGAUUGUCAAGAACUAUUUAUACAGCGCAUCCCGUUUGAUGAUACAAAAAAAACAAUGUCACAUGUCAAACAAUAGCUGUCAAAACUAAUUUCUUACUGUGUUUGCAACUUACUUUGUGACCCAUUUUACUGAGAUGACAAAUCUGCCAAAUGUCUCUUAUACAUGUACUGUAUGUUAAAGAUGAUGUUUAAGUAAAAUGAAGCAUUAACUUUGUCUGUAGUACAUAUUCAGAAAAUGAAAAAAUAAACAAAAUUCAGAAAUAAAUUCAGAGUACUUAGAACCUACAUUUUUUAUCCUUAUGGUUAUGUAUUUGUGUACAAAUUCAACUGACAACACUGAAACAUACAUAUUAAAAUAACAUAGAUUGCACAGAAAACAACUGUAUAUAUAAUAAUUGGUUCUGCAUUGUAGUUCAGAGUAGUAUUUAAACAAAUCAUAGGAAUCAAACAUGAAAAAGUCAUAAAUAUGACUAAUAAAUUAUUACUGUAAGAUGGAACAUUCAUCCAUGUUACAUUGUGGUAAGCAAGUACUGUCUGUCUAUUGUGUGGGGACAGCGGAUAGCCAAAUAUUACAAAGAGCACAACAAACUGUCACCAUCUUGUCAAGUGAGGUAGGUUGUCCUUUAGUGGCCCCUUCGGUGUGGUGGUCUUAAGGGUGGUGUAUUUGUUUCUGACCGGGCCAAUGACUUUCCACAUGGAUCUGGUUUCAAAAUGUAAUCUGGUAUGGUUUAAUCAUUUAAAAAUGACAUGGUAAUAUUAACUUUUGGAAAUUUCCAAUGUGGUUAACCAUUAAACCGAUAAUUGUUCCAUCUCUAAUAGAGACCCACAAAGACCAUUAUAAUUUCCAUCACAAUCAAUAAAAUUCUCAUUGUAACCAUUAAAUCCAGUAGAAUUUCUAUAACGUCUCUAUGUUUUAUUUUAGCACGGAUGUCUGUAUCUCAUUAGAUUUAGCUGAAUAUUCAAUUUUUGUAUUUUGCCUCAAUAAGUCUUCAUUAUUUAAUAUAUGUUUGAAUAAAUAGUAUAGGGGC